AGUGAACGCUGGCGGUAGGCCUAACACAUGCAAGUCGAACGGCAGCACAGUAAGAGCUUGCUCUUACGGGUGGCGAGUGGCGGACGGGUGAGGAAUACAUCGGAAUCUACUUUUUCGUGGGGGAUAACGUAGGGAAACUUACGCUAAUACGGCAUAGGACCUACGGGUAAAAGCAGGGAAUCUUCGGACCUUCCGCGAUUGAAGAGGCCGAUGUCGGAUUAGCUAGUUGGCGGGGUAAAGGCCCACCAAGGCGACGAUCCGUAGCUGGUCUGAGAGGAUGAUCAGCCACACUGGAACUGAGACACGGUCCAGACUCCUACGGGAGGCAGCAGUGGGGAAUAUUGGACAAUGGGCGCAAGCCUGAUCCAGCCAUACCGCGUGGGUGAAGAAGGCCUUCGGGUUGUAAAGCCCUUUUGUUGGGAAAGAAAAGCAGCAGGUUAAUACCCCGCUGUUCUGACGGUACCCAAAGAAUAAGCACCGGCUAACUUCGUG
RNAcentral lists this ribosomal RNA (492 nucleotides) under uncultured bacterium. RNAcentral's name for it is "partial 16S ribosomal RNA". It matches the Rfam family "Bacterial small subunit ribosomal RNA", at positions 29 to 507 of the family's 1533-position model. The record is from RNAcentral.